CUCUAUUACUUUUAGUGAGGAAGAAGAGAGAAAUGCAUGCUGGGAUCCCACUCGCUUUCUACUUUUUCUUCAGUCUGGGAUCCCAGACCACGGGAUGUUGCUGCUCACAUGCAGGGGGAUCCUCUUCAGGUAAAUCUCUACGGAACGAACACCCUCACAGACACACCCAGAGAGGCAUCUUCUAGGUGCAUCUCCAUAUCUAGUCAAGCUGACGAUGGAGUCCGACGGUCAAGGUUGCCUAAGGCCUCACAGCUGCGUGCAGCUCCGUGGGAAGGGCCGUGCUGAAAGCAGAAACAGUGGAGGAAAAUCCACAGAACCCGUAGUUCCUGUGUGGAGAUGAACGUCUUUCAAGGUGAAGAGUUUGUAUUUAAAACAUAAAACCACAAUAAAGUAGAAGGAGAAACUGGUCCUUGACAUGAACGUGCCAGUCAAGUCUGCAUGCUAAGACAUAGAGAAGAAAAAGAAGAGGAGGAAGAAGAAUCAAACACUUAUGAAUGAUUGAGCAGGGAUAUUGAAUAAACUUAACCCAUUACUAUGCAGAACAUAAUGCAGGCAUCUUGAUCUUGGAUCCUGUCCAAGGCGAUCCAUGAUUGGAUGAAGUGGGAGAUUCUCGUUCAGAGAGUUUCGCCCAAAAUGUGAUGUCUGAUCGUAGACUCAGCAUUACAGGGCAGCUCCAGUGUGGUUUUCG
Molecule: long non-coding RNA, 688 nt
Organism: Rattus rattus (black rat)
Lineage: Eukaryota; Metazoa; Chordata; Mammalia; Rodentia; Muridae
Exons: 3
Source: RefSeq, a predicted model, not a curated record